RNAcentral lists this ribosomal RNA (818 nucleotides) under Staphylococcus devriesei. RNAcentral describes it as "bacterial SSU rRNA". It matches the Rfam family "Bacterial small subunit ribosomal RNA", at positions 28 to 828 of the family's 1533-position model. Lineage: Bacteria; Bacillati; Bacillota; Bacilli; Caryophanales; Staphylococcaceae. The record is from RNAcentral.
GAUGAACGCUGGCGGCGUGCCUAAUACAUGCAAGUCGAGCGAACAGAUAAGGAGCUUGCUCCUUUGACGUUAGCGGCGGACGGGUGAGUAACACGUGGGUAACCUACCUAUAAGACUGGGAUAACUUCGGGAAACCGGAGCUAAUACCGGAUAAUAUUUCGAACCGCAUGGUUCGAUAGUGAAAGAUGGUUUUGCUAUCACUUAUAGAUGGACCCGCGCCGUAUUAGCUAGUUGGUAAGGUAACGGCUUACCAAGGCGACGAUACGUAGCCGACCUGAGAGGGUGAUCGGCCACACUGGAACUGAGACACGGUCCAGACUCCUACGGGAGGCAGCAGUAGGGAAUCUUCCGCAAUGGGCGAAAGCCUGACGGAGCAACGCCGCGUGAGUGAUGAAGGUCUUCGGAUCGUAAAACUCUGUUAUUAGGGAAGAACAUACGUGUAAGUAACUGUGCACGUCUUGACGGUACCUAAUCAGAAAGCCACGGCUAACUACGUGCCAGCAGCCGCGGUAAUACGUAGGUGGCAAGCGUUAUCCGGAAUUAUUGGGCGUAAAGCGCGCGUAGGCGGUUUUUUAAGUCUGAUGUGAAAGCCCACGGCUCAACCGUGGAGGGUCAUUGGAAACUGGAAAACUUGAGUGCAGAAGAGGAAAGUGGAAUUCCAUGUGUAGCGGUGAAAUGCGCAGAGAUAUGGAGGAACACCAGUGGCGAAGGCGACUUUCUGGUCUGUAACUGACGCUGAUGUGCGAAAGCGUGGGGAUCAAACAGGAUUAGAUACCCUGGUAGUCCACGCCGUAAACGAUGAGUGCUAAGUGUUAGGG